GGCCUACUAAAUUUUGAACUAUGUUGAAAGCCCAUCACAUUCCCCCCUUUGAUGCUUCUGAUACAAAGUUAUUCCAGAUGCAUCACUAAUCAUAAUUUGCCAACACCUUUCAAGUAACCAUGACUCGGGACAGACCUUAUUCUAACUUAACUCUAUUACCUCUCAACACUCAUCGACCUGAUUAUUAAUAGUCUCUCUCUGGGUUAUGGGUUCAUAUUUCCAGAUGGC
Molecule: non-coding RNA, 228 nt
Organism: Pelobates cultripes (western spadefoot toad)
Lineage: Eukaryota; Metazoa; Chordata; Amphibia; Anura; Pelobatidae
Source: the annotation of a GenBank genome assembly